CCAGUUGACUGCCAUGCAGCAAAAUGACAUGUUCACAUCAUUACUGUUGCUUACUAUUAUAAAUAUAAUAUUUGUAUUAAUAGUAAUGAUGUGAACAUGUCAUCUUGCUGGGUUGCAGUCAACUGG
Non-coding RNA from Podarcis lilfordi (Lilford's wall lizard), 126 nucleotides. The record is from the annotation of a GenBank genome assembly. Lineage: Eukaryota; Metazoa; Chordata; Lepidosauria; Squamata; Lacertidae.